Molecule: ribosomal RNA, 117 nt
Filed under: Ruminococcus bicirculans (ex Wegman et al. 2014)
Lineage: Bacteria; Bacillati; Bacillota; Clostridia; Eubacteriales; Oscillospiraceae
Source: RNAcentral
CGGUGGCGUUUGAGUUGAGGUCACACCUGUUCCCAUGCCGAACACAGUAGUUAAGCUCUUCUUCGCCGAAAAUACUUGGAUGGUAACGUCCCGGUAAGAUAGGGUGCUGCCGACACC